AGUGAACGCUGGCGGCAGGCCUAACACAUGCAAGUCGAACGGCAGCACAAGAGAGCUUGCUCUCUGGGUGGCGAGUGGCGGACGGGUGAGGAAUGCAUCGGAAUCUGCCCAUUUGUGGGGGAUAACCUCGGGAAACCGGGACUAAUACCGCAUACGACCUACGGGUGAAAGCAGGGGAUCUUCGGACCUUGCGCAGAUGGAUGAGCCGAUGCCGGAUUAGCUAGUUGGAGGGGUAAAGGCCCACCAAGGCGACGAUCCGUAGCUGGUCUGAGAGGAUGAUCAGCCACACUGGGACUGAGACACGGCCCAGACUCCUACGGGAGGCAGCAGUGGGGAAUAUUGGACAAUGGGCGCAAGCCUGAUCCGGCCAUGCCGCGUGUGUGAAGAAGGCCUUCGGGUUGUAAAGCACUUUUGUUGGGAAAGAAAAGCAGCCGGUUAAUACCCGGUUGUCAUGACGGUACCCAAAGAAUAAGCACCGGCUAACUUCGUG
RNAcentral lists this ribosomal RNA (490 nucleotides) under uncultured bacterium. RNAcentral's name for it is "partial 16S ribosomal RNA". It matches the Rfam family "Bacterial small subunit ribosomal RNA", at positions 29 to 507 of the family's 1533-position model. The record is from RNAcentral.